Molecule: long non-coding RNA, 546 nt
Organism: Mya arenaria
Lineage: Eukaryota; Metazoa; Mollusca; Bivalvia; Myida; Myidae
Exons: 3
Source: RefSeq, a predicted model, not a curated record
GUUUAUCAUUGCUCCUUGAAUACUCUUGAAAUAAUGACCAUGUUUAUCAAAAAUAUUUAAACCAGUGUUACUCUGUUGGUUGUAAUGGAUAGCUGCUACAUUGGACAGACAAAAUCUACACUGAUGGAACAUCAAAGAAAGACAUUGGUGGAUUUCUUUGACGAGGACGUUGAGAGCGAAUACAUGAUGAGGCUUAAACGAGAUAUAAGUGUUCCAUCUCUAAAUGAGGACGGGGCGCUCGAGCUACAGUCAGCACGACGAAGAGGACCAUCAAGAUGACAACACUCCCCGUGACUUCAGUUGAAAUCACUGCAGCUGAAACCACCAAAUCAACCACCACUACCGCUACCACUACUACUACUACUACGACAGCUGCCCCACCUACUACAUUAAAGAAGAUAAUAUGGUCGACCAUUUUCAAAAAAGGAAAAUUCCAAAUCCCUAAUUGGCCAUUCAAAAUUGACAUUACACCAUUUUAAUAUACAUGCAUAAAGACAUCAUGUGUUUGGGAAUGUGUGAGGUUGAGUAUCAAUUAAUUAGUUUAAA